GUGGUCUUUACGCCCAAGGGAGGGGUAAUGGGCCUGAGACCGGGCCCUCGGGCCGAACCGAAACCGGUGACGGGAGUAGGUGGAUGAGAGCCCGCAAACCUCUCCCCGCCCGUUGAAAGCCUCGCCCUUCAAGGCGGGGAGGAGGUCAGGAGGAGAUAACC
This 161-nucleotide small RNA is filed under the name Pyrococcus furiosus DSM 3638. RNAcentral's name for it is "HgcC family RNA". It matches the Rfam family "HgcC family RNA". Rfam says of the family: The HgcC ncRNA gene was identified computationally in AT-rich hyperthermophiles. The genes were named hgcA through hgcG ("high GC"). The record is from Rfam by way of RNAcentral. Lineage: Archaea; Methanobacteriati; Methanobacteriota; Thermococci; Thermococcales; Thermococcaceae.